RNAcentral lists this ribosomal RNA (499 nucleotides) under uncultured bacterium. Its description in RNAcentral is "partial 16S ribosomal RNA". It matches the Rfam family "Bacterial small subunit ribosomal RNA", at positions 28 to 507 of the family's 1533-position model. The record is from RNAcentral.
GACGAACGCUGGCGGCGUGCUUAACACAUGCAAGUCGAACGGGCCUGUCUUCUUUUUUGGGGGUGGGUUGAGUGGCGAACGGGUGAGUAUCACGUGAGUAACCUGCCCUUCGGUCCUGGAUAACCGCUUGAAAGGGCGGCUAAUACGGGGUGGUCCGGUUGGUCCGCAUGGGCUGGUCGGGAUAGAUUCACUGUUUUUGGUGUUUCGGCGGGGGAUGGGCUCGCGGCCUAUCAGCUUGUUGGUGGGGUGGUGGCCUACCAAGGCGGUGACGGGUAGCCGGCCUGGGAGGGUGGGCGGCCACGCGGGGACUGAGAUACGGCCCAGACUCCUGCGGGAGGCAGCAGUGGGGGGUAUUGCACAAUGGGCGGAAGCCUGAUGCAGCGACGUCGCGUGAGGGAUGGAGGCCUUCGGGUUGUGAACCUCUGUUUCCGGUGGUGAAGGCCCUGUCCGUGUGGUGGGGUUGACGGUAGCCGGGGAUGAAGCGCCGGCUAACUACGUG